This is a long non-coding RNA of Macaca fascicularis (crab-eating macaque), 2435 nucleotides long. The record is from Ensembl. NCBI's taxonomy places the organism in Eukaryota, Metazoa, Chordata, Mammalia, Primates, Cercopithecidae.
UUUUUUUCAAUUUCAAGUUUAAUUUUAUUUUAGCUGAUCUGAUGUGGUUUCAACUAACCCAAGGUCUCACCAUGUUAAAAUGCCGGCGGACUCUACGGCGUUUUGUAGAUUCCCCCCCCCCCCCCCCCACUGUGAAGGGGUGCCAUACUACCUUAAAUGCUAAUGCUAGAUAUGCAAAACUGGAUUUUUUUAAUUUAUUUUUUAAAAGAGGGAGGCAUGGUAUAUUAAAAUGAUUUUACUAAGAGAAAAAUAUUUUUUUAAGAAUGCUCAGAAGAAAUUGAUAAUCUGUGUGAAUAUGUUUUAGAUGUUUAUAUACCUUUUGAAGAGACCCAGUAGCCCAUAGCACAAAUCUUGUGGAAAUCCGAUAUGUUUUAAUGUGGCUACCUAGGUUUAAGGUUCACGUUAGUCCCCCCAUCCAUCUAGAAGUCCAUUUUGAAAGAUUUUUGUAAAUUCUUUUAGCACUGAUGUUCAGCCUUGUCUUUGUUUCAGUUAAGCUCAAUGGCGAACAUGGGAACCACCUUUCACCUUCCCUGGGGGAGAAACCCUCUUGGCUGAUGGCUUUUCCCCGGAAUUAUCAAACAGCCACCGGGUGACUUUCUGGCUUCCAGAUCCAUCUGCCUGAGACCCCCGAACUCCUCUCCUCCCAAGCAGAGGCGAGUGAGUGGCAUUAGCUCCCGGACCCAUUCCCGGUUCUAGCUGGGCAUGGGGCUGACGGAUAUGACCAAGCCUUGGUCUGCUCUCUAGCAGCUUCCACAGACUUGGCUCGUGGCCUUCCUCAUAUCCAUUGGGAAAACCAAACAGCCUCGCGCUCUAUCCCAGUCGCCCAUUAGCUUGAUUCAAACGAAGCCCCAACAGGCCUUUGCGUUUUUAUCCUUCAUAACCUUCAUCUUAAUUUGAACUUGUAGCUUGGACUUUAAGGUAGCAUGGCUCUAUUGCUGUCAAUUUACUGUUUCACUGCACAGCAAUCACAGCCAGUGAAUGUUACACACAUCUUGCUAGACUAGUAUAAAAAUCAUUGGGUAAUUGUUGGUUCUAAUGACCUGAAAGGUGUUCAGUUUUUGUUCUUGGUUUUGUUUUGUUUUUGAUUUCUUGGGGGUGGGUUUUGCUUGUUGUUCUUUUUCAUUUGGGGAUUUUGGGGGAAAAAAUUUUAUUUUUGGUUCCAAAUAGAAAAACAAAACCUAUUUUGAUCUUUAGUGCAAACGAGGGCUAGGGACUUAGCCUCCUCCACCACCUCCACACUGCUUCAUUCUGCCAUUCACUCACUGCAGCAUAUUCAAGAAUAAAGCAAUAUCGUUUACUACAUUUUUUAUUGAAGGUCAGCCAUGCUUUCUGUAUUAUAUUGCAUAUGAAAUUGUUUACAAAAGAAACACUAACUCAUACUUCUUUUUAUCGGUUGCAAGUGGCACGCAGGGACAGAGGGAGAGUGGGGGGCUGGUAGGGGAAGGGAGAUUUUUUUUUUUUUUUUCUUGAAUGUGCUUCACAAGCCAGGCUAUCUUCCAAGGGAGGCAGACAGUGGGUAGAGCAGAGGGACUGACUGCAGGCAAGCACAUUGAAGAAAGACACUGGCGGGUUUCCCCACCCUCACCCCAAAGCAGACAACUAGCAGACGUCAGCUUAGCCCUGUCCUGGGCACAGACACUACACAAGGAGACGCUGGAAGUUAAGCAAUACUUUAAUACUGUAAUAUGUUUGUUUUCUUUUUCUUUUUUUUUUUUUCCACCAAAAAAAAGUAAGUAAACUAAAACACAAAAACAUAUAAAUAAAAUCCACCCCUCUUGUCGGGGGCUGGGGGGGCAACCUUAAUCCAAACACCUGGCUAUCAAAUAAUCAGAAUGUAUUGUCUCAGACAGGAUUUCAGUUCCGGGAGGCAGGGGCAUGAUGGGGGAGGGGGCUGGAGGCUGAGAGACAAAAGUUCCAGAGCCUCCCUCGAAGGUUCUCUACUACUGUAUUCUGUACAUAAUGUACCAUCGCGUGUGGAAUCUGUGAGUGUCCUCUUAAGUAGCGUGGGCUAGCCAAUCUGCCGUUCAUGGUGUAUUGUAAACUCCGAAUUCCAUAUGUAAUAGGAUGCAAGUCUAAGCGUUUCAUGUGGACAUAAAUGUAUCUAAAUAAAACUUUCCCUAGCACUGUGGCUGACCUCACCCUUACUUUUAUACUUUAGUAUGAAACUGAUGAGAACUUUGGUAGUGAGUAUUUUUUUUAUAUAUAUACAUAUAUAUGUAUCUAUCUAUAUAUAUAUCUCAAGCAUCUUUCAGGUCUUUGUGUGUGGCUUUCUUAAAGCCCUGUUGUAAAAAAUUACUAUGUGGAUGGCAGUCUCUCACAUCACAGAUGUGGAAAGUAUAAUUUUAUAUUUGUAUUUUCAAAUAAAUAAGUUUGUGAAAGGUUUCCAUCCUCUACUGUGGUCCAGAAAUCAAUGUGUUUGUCUGACAAAAAAAAAA